This is a non-coding RNA of Ferrimonas marina, 75 nucleotides long. The record is from Rfam. NCBI's taxonomy places the organism in Bacteria, Pseudomonadati, Pseudomonadota, Gammaproteobacteria, Alteromonadales, Ferrimonadaceae.
CACAGUAGUGCCAAACCCGUCGCGAGGCGGGGACGGAAAGCCACGGGUCUCUCGCAGAUAGCCGGGUUGCAUUGU